UGACGUCAAAAAAAAAAAAAAAAAAAUGCUGACACGGCAGGGGGAGCCUAUUCUCACCGAACUCGACGCUGCGCAACCGUCGCUUCUGUUGCCAGGCUAGCUCCUACUUCUUCAGUCUACAAAUACUUGAAGGCAACAACAAACCACGGAGCACAUCCUACAGCAGUGUAGGCUCUCCGGGAACUGAUGACGGAAUUCGGGCCUUGGUCAGUGUUCCUCAACAUCAAGCUGUACGGGCCUGCGGAUGCUCUACAUAUUUUGUUAGCUUCAUUUCGAGCGCUGAUCUCGAACUAUAAUCAGGCUGGCAUCUUUAGAGAGACAAGUAGACUACAUCAAAGGUGACGGAAACUGCUUCUUCCGAGCUCUCUCCAAGGAAAUAUACGGGUCUGAAAACUUCCACGCUGAAUGGCGUGAAGCGGUUGUCGACGUCAUCGACUGUCAUCCCCUCGUCUUUCGCCAGUAUGUCGACACCAACAGCGUGGAAUCCCACGUGCAGGAGAUGCGAAGACUUGGUACAUGGGCAACCACGUGCGAGAUCUACGCCGCUGCUAUGCUGCUGCAACGUGACAUCUACGUCCUGACGCCUAACCACACCGGGAAGGAGUACCACUGGCUGCUGUUCUCACCUCGCCAGCUGACCGGACCUUCUGCUGGAAGCAGCGUGUGCACUUUGAACACACAGACACAUGAACGAGCAGCAGGGUAAAUGUCUCUGUCAGGGGUCGCAAUCACAGUACCUCGGGAACCUCCUCGGCGCUGCACCCUUGCUAUUUAACUCUGUGUCAUACAAAUGGCAAUCAUUACGACAGAAUUAUGCCCGUGUUCGUCUCCUGCAACUGUCAACUCCCACCUCCCAGUUUCAAUGAAGUUACAGUCCUUGUGGACCUAAUAGAGUAGGGUGAGGACAGGGACUGAGCAUAAGAUUUAUUAGUUAUCUGCGUCUUCAUUCAUGCAGAUUCUAGGUUUAAAUCCAUGGUGUUUUUAAUAUGGGGGUGUGCCAAGUUUUUGCACCUUGUCAGUAGUACUGUCCUGGGUACAAGAGGUGCGAAAGUCUUAAAAUAUAACUCCAAAGUUGUCUAAAAAUCCCUGCUGACGCAAGAGUUCCCUCCUCUUAGUGUUGGAAUGAAAAGUAAUAUUGAAGUAUUGCAUAUAUGAAGAAACACGAACGCUAGCGAAUGUGUGGUUGUGAGGGUGUAAGAAAUACUAACUUUAUUGCAUGAAAGACUAAAAAAAAACCUCACCUCUCUGUGGGAAUAAAAAUGUUUUACCUCCA
This is a long non-coding RNA of Pomacea canaliculata, 1273 nucleotides long. RefSeq lists it as uncharacterized. NCBI's taxonomy places the organism in Eukaryota, Metazoa, Mollusca, Gastropoda, Architaenioglossa, Ampullariidae. The transcript has 3 exons. The record is from RefSeq and is a predicted model, not a curated record.